Molecule: ribosomal RNA, 448 nt
Filed under: uncultured bacterium
Lineage: Bacteria
Description: SSU rRNA
Rfam family: Bacterial small subunit ribosomal RNA
Source: RNAcentral
AGAGCGAACGCUGGCGGCAGGCCUAACACAUGCAAGUCGAGCGCCCGUAGCAAUACGGGAGCGGCAGACGGGAUAGUAACACGUGGGAACGCGCCCUUCGGUUCGGAAUAACUCAGGGAAACUUGAGCUAAUACCGAAUACGCCCUUACGGGGAAAGAUUUAUUGCCGAAGGAACGGCCCGCGUCCGAUUAGCUAGUUGGUGAGGUAAUGGCUCACCAAGGCUACGAUCGGUAGCUGGUCUGAGAGGAUGACCAGCAUCACUGGGACUGAGACACGGCCCAGACUCCUACGGGAGGCAGCAGUGGGGAAUAUUGGACAAUGGGCGCAAGCCUGAUCCAGCCAUGCCGCGUGGAUGAUGAAGGCCUUAGGGUUGUAAAGUCCGUUUUAACGGGGAAGAUAAUGACGGUACCCGUAGAAUAAGCCCGGCUAACUUCGUGCCAGCAGCCGC